RNAcentral lists this ribosomal RNA (756 nucleotides) under uncultured bacterium. Its description in RNAcentral is "bacterial SSU rRNA". It matches the Rfam family "Bacterial small subunit ribosomal RNA", at positions 8 to 796 of the family's 1533-position model. The record is from RNAcentral.
AGAGUUUGAUCCUGGCUCAGAAUCAACGCUAGCGGCGCGCUUAACACAUGCAAGUCGAACGAGAAAGGGGAGCAAUCCCUGAGUACAGUGGCGUACGGGUGAGUAACACGUGGAUGAUCUACCUUCUGGUGUGGAAUAACCAUGGGAAACCGUGGCUAAUACCGCAUAAGCUCGAGAGAGGAAAGCAGCAAUGCGCCGGAAGAGGAGUCCGCGGCCGAUUAGCUAGUUGGGAGGGUAAAAGCCUACCAAGGCAAAGAUCGGUAGCCGGCCUGAGAGGGCACACGGCCACACUGGCACUGAAACACGGGCCAGACUCCUACGGGAGGCAGCAGUGGGGAAUCUUGCACAAUGGGGGAAACCCUGAUGCAGCGACGCCGCGUGAGCGAUGAAGCCCUUCGGGGUGUAAAGCUCUUUCGGCAGGGAAGAUGAUGACGGUACCUGCAGAAGCAGCUGCGGCUAACUACGUGCCAGCAGCCGCGGUAAUACGUAGGCAGCGAGCGUUGUUCGGAGUUACUGGGCGUAAAGGGUGUGUAGGCGGUUGUUUAAGUUUGGUGUGAAAUCUCCCGGCUCAACCGGGAGGGUGCGCCGAAUACUGAAUGACUCGAGUGCGGGAGAGGAGAGUGGAAUUCCUGGUGUAGCGGUGAAAUGCGUAGAUAUCAGGAGGAACACCGGUGGUGUAGACGGCUCUCUGGACCGUAACUGACGCUGAGACACGAAAGCGUGGGUAGCAAACAGGAUUAGAUACCCCCGUAGUCC